Long non-coding RNA from Mus musculus (house mouse), 901 nucleotides. RefSeq annotates it as predicted gene, 38540. NCBI's taxonomy places the organism in Eukaryota, Metazoa, Chordata, Mammalia, Rodentia, Muridae. The record is from RefSeq and is a predicted model, not a curated record. The transcript is spliced from 3 exons.
AGCAGGAACAGAGAUCUAGGGCAGAAAACAACACAACAGGCACGGGUUUGCGAUUAGACCAUCUGGAUUAAACACUGAGGGGAGAGCAAAGAAACGGCAGCAUGGCCAGUCUCAGAGAAGCCACUGAUGUAUGAGGAGAUGCUGUGCCCAGUAUAGUUGGCUUGGCUGACUAGGGGCAGUGAAGGAAUGACAAGAACCCACCCACUAAAGAAAGAGCAGUCGCAGCAGAUGGACACUGAAAAGCUGGGGUCAAGUGGCCUGUGCACUCUCAGAUGGAGUCAACCCAACUACAGAUGCAACUGGAACUCAGAGUGUUCAUUAUGAUUGCUUCUGGCUGCUGAUAUGCCUUUCCUGCCACUAUUACACAGCCCAAUGACUCCUGAGCAUCAGACCACCUGAUUGAGUAAAUUUCCUGAAGAUCAACAUGAAGAUAAACUUUCAUGAAUUAAUGUUGUUUAGAUGAAUUGAUGACUUCCUGAUUUGAUUCAUACGAUUUUGGGGAAAAAGUUUAAGAAGAUGGUCUUAGUUGUUUUGUCAAAAAGAUGUAAUAAAGUCAGAAUCAAGAAUAGAAUGUGCCCCUUCCUCAUAGAAUAGUAAAUAAAGGCUGCAUAAUAAGGAACACAGUGAGCUUUCAUAAAGUGUACUAAGAAGAGAAACAGACUUGGGACAUAUUUGUGAUCAAGGAAAAACAUUCAUUCUAGGUCAGGUCAAAGACAAAGCCACAGGUGUGCAACUGUUGCCCUGAACUUAUAAUGAGCAUAUAGAAUGAAACACUGUUUUGAACUUAAUAUCAGGACAUCCUUCUGUAACUCCCUUUUGUAAUACUUUAUCUAAGAGGUAAUUUUUGUCUAGAAGAUAUAAAAUGCCAGAAAAAAAAAAGAAAUAAAAUAUGGCUUUUGUA